RNA transcript from Cercocebus atys (sooty mangabey), 2582 nucleotides. It is a transcript of the gene named centrosomal protein of 70 kDa-like, with no coding region annotated. The record is from RefSeq and is a predicted model, not a curated record. NCBI's taxonomy places the organism in Eukaryota, Metazoa, Chordata, Mammalia, Primates, Cercopithecidae. The transcript has a single exon.
GCUGGUCUUGAACUCCUGACCUCAGAUGAUCCACCGACUUCAGCCUCCCAAAUUGCUGGGAUUACAGGAGUGAUACAUUUUCACAGUCCACAUAAAUCACCACAGAAUCCUGAACAAUCUUUUUUCUUCCUUGUAUGUAUUGGAAGGGAAGGGUAGAGAAUCACCUUCGAAAAUUUAAUUAGCAAUGAAGAGCAGCCCACAGAACCAGAAAGCUUUUUGCAGUGAACUCCAUAGAGCAUUCAUUACUAAAUUUGUGUAUGCUUUAAAUUAGGGCUUCUAUACAAGCUACUUACUUAAUUUUCCUUUAUCUCCUGCUAAACAGAAGAGUGAAACCAACUUCUAGCACACACAAGUAUUUCCACACUACAAAGUAUUAUGAGGAGAAAAAAGCACAUAAUUCCACAUUCAUCCAAAGUGGCCAAGUACACCUGAUAUGUGUAAAGAAUCUCUUAAGUGGCUUUAUUUGUGCCGUUUGACCAAACUCCUGCAGAAACAGUAGAAAUAUAUCCUUCUCGAAUGCUACUGAAAAUUCCUUCUAUGUAUCUUGCAGACAUUUCUUCGAGAAACCUCACUGAAAGUGAGAACACAUGCAAAGUACCCUCAAUGAAGGACUGAAUCCAACGGGGUUUACAAGUUGAUGAGAAAGUGUGCAGAAAAGAGUGCCAACCAUAUGACACCGCACUUGACCACAGCUUAAGAGAAAAUAGGCAAUUAUAGAAUCAUAUGUUGUGAAAUAUGUAGUUUUAGAAAAGAUAAACAACAUAAAGUAUUUAACUUUGUUAAUAAUCACAAAUAAGAAAAUAACAUUAAAACAGUCUAAACUUGCUUCCUUAUGACAUCAUUAGCCACUCUCCAAAUUAUUAACAAAGAACAGAACAAUUUAUAAAAUUCUGAAAUAUAUGUGUAUGCAUAUUUUACAUAAAAUACAUAUAAAUUAUAUAUAUAUUUAUAUUAUAUAAAUAACCAUAUAUAGAGACUUUUUACAUUAUCAUCAAGUAAAAGCAAAAAUAAUACAAAACAUAAAAUAAUAUUGUAAAACUCUGUAGUAGACUUCAAUAAAAUGGAACAUAGGUAUCUUGAGAAUGUACUGGCUGGUGGGAGGUGGCGACUGAGGAAGAUGAAGAUCCAGUUUCAGACAUGAGACUUGUUGGGUGAUCAUUUCAUUGAGAUCAACCUGAAUGACCAGGUGUAAAGUGCAAGAGUAGUAUGCUAUGACUGAGGCAACUCAAAUUUUUUAAUUGCCAAUGUCUGUUUCUUUUGAUUCUACAAAAGAAACUAUGUUUCCGGUAGCCCUUAAACCUCAGGAUUCCAAUCAACCGUCAGAUAGACUCAUGACUGAAAAACAGCAGGAAGAAGCAGAAUGGGAAAGCGUAAAUGUGCUAUUGAUGAUGCAUGGCUUAAAACCUUUGUCUCUAGUCAAAAGAACCGAUCUCAAAGAUCUCAUCAUUUUUGACAAACAGUCAUCACAAAGGAUGAGACAGAAUUUGAAAUUGUUGGUGCAAGAAACCUCACGUCAACAGAACAUGAUACAGGAGCUUAUAGAAACUAAUCAGCAGCUUAGAAAUGAACUUCAGCUAGAGCACAGCCGAGCAACCAAUCAAGAACAACGAGCUAAUGACUUGGAAUAAAUUAUGGAGAGUGUGAAAUCCAAAACUGGUGAAUUGGAGGAUGAAUCACUAAAUAGGGCUUGCCAGCAACAGAAUAAAAUAAAAGAUCUUCAAAAGGAGCAGAAAACUUUAUAGGUGAAGUGCCAGCAUUAUAAGAAAAAACGAACUGAGCAACAAGAAACUAUUGCUUCUUUGCAAAUGGAAGUCCGUAGAUUAAGAAAGGAGGAAGAAGAUCGCAUUGUCACUCAAAACAGAGUGUUUGCCUGUCUGUGCAAAAGAGUUCCUCAUACCGUCUUGGAUAGACGGUAUGUAAUUUUGAUACAUAAAUUGAUAUGUAGCUAGAUUCAUGGUUUUGUUUGUUUGACCUGAUUUUAUCUUGGGAGUGGUUAUAACUCUUAUAAACUAGAAAAGCCUCUCUCUCCUCCUCUUCUGCAUUGUUUUUCCGUGCUCAUCCUGUUUUUGUUUGUUUGUUUGUUUGUUUGUUCUAGAGGUCCUUUGGGGAAUGGAAUUGAACAUUUACUAAAAAUAACACUAAACUUUUAAAUAAAUUCAUAAUUAAUCAGACAUUUCUCAAAAUAACUGAUCCUUUUAGUGAAGAAUAAUAUUUAGAGAUCACUGUAUGGGUUUUGGGGUUGCUUAGUUUUAUUAUGUUAUUGAUUUUAGGAGUUUUUAGUGGAAAGAACCAGGGACUAUAUAUUUUGGAGGGGACUAUAUAUAUUUAACCCAGCUGAAGUUAAGACAGUAUUUUUAUUUAAAUUCUGAUUUUACAUUUGUAACUGUUGUCUUUUCUACUGAAAAUCAUUCUUAAGAACAAUAUUAUAAUUAUUUGCUAUAUCUGAUAAUACAUAAAAAUAGUUUCAAAAUAUUAAAACUAGAAUUACUAACAAUAAGCCUACUGAAUGAAAUUUAAAUUUCUGGCAUUAGGAGAUAUAUCUCAUGUAAAUGAUGAGUUAAUGGGUGCAGCACACCAACAUG